Molecule: long non-coding RNA, 524 nt
Filed under: Lactuca sativa (garden lettuce)
Lineage: Eukaryota; Viridiplantae; Streptophyta; Magnoliopsida; Asterales; Asteraceae
Description: long non-coding RNA (LSAT_LNC000455)
Source: RNAcentral
UGGCACCACCCCACACAGCAGCACCCUGCCUGUGGACUGUGGCUAAGUAGGUACCCAAUGGAGACCACUGCACAAAACUUUCAGUCCAAAACUGCAGAAAAUUAAUAAAUUCAAUUGUAAGUAAAAACAUGUUUUAAUGAAAUACACAAAAACAAUGCAAAAGAUAAAAGAUUUCCACUCACAGGGCGUUUGUAAACAGGAUCAGCUUUCACUUGUCUUGCAUCAUUCCACAACACCUCUGUGUCAGAUCCAGCACGAAUAACAAACUGAUCUCUACCUUUCUCAUCAGUAAGCCAAUGUUGCAGAUUCUCCUGCAAUAAUACACCAAAUACAGUUUAUUUAUCAAGAUAUUUAGUAAAAAAGAAAUUAACUGCUCUUCUUCAGUAUAUAACAUCGUCACAUUGUCACAUAACAAUAAACUAGAUAAUUCAAAUACUUACCCCUGGUGUGUAUGGCUUGAUUUCAGGAGGGGCCCACUCGUCUGGAACUUUCAUGAACUUUUCAAUUUCAUCAAACAUAUUGAC